AACGAACGCUGGCGGCAUGCCUAACACAUGCAAGUCGAACGAGACCUCCGGGUCUUGGGGCGCACGGGGGCGUAACGCGUGGGAAGCUGCCCUUAGGUUCGGAAUAACUCCCCGAAAGGGGUGCUAAUACCGGAUAAGGUCUUCGGACCAAAGAUUUAUCGCCUUUGGAUGGGCCCGCGUUGGAUUAGGUAGUUGGUAGGGUAAGAGCUUACCAAGGCGACGAUCCAUAGCUGGUCUGAGAGAAUGAUUAGCCACGCUGGGACGGAGACACGGCCCAGACUCCUACGGAAGGCAGCAGUGGGGAAUAUUGGACAAUGGAGGAAGGCCUGAUCCAGCAAUGCCGCGUAAGUGAUGAAGGCCUUAGGGUUGUAAAGCUCUUUUACCCGGGAUGAUAAUGACGGUACCGGGAGAAUAAGCCCCGGCUAACUCCGUG
Molecule: ribosomal RNA, 433 nt
Filed under: uncultured bacterium
Lineage: Bacteria
Description: partial 16S ribosomal RNA
Rfam family: Bacterial small subunit ribosomal RNA
Source: RNAcentral